AUUCCGGUGACCAUAGGGUGUCAUUCCAGUGCUUGACACUGGAAUCCAGGAAAUUUUGCUUGUAAGUAAGCAAACUGAUUUGGUGAGCAUAAAAAGUGGCUGAUCUUAUGCUGAAUAAACGCUUUUGAUGAAGUUGCAUGGAAAGCUGGAUCCCAGUGUCUGGGCACUGGGAUGACAUCCUUCUUGGUGGAGUGU
This is a non-coding RNA of Glossina morsitans morsitans, 195 nucleotides long. NCBI's taxonomy places the organism in Eukaryota, Metazoa, Arthropoda, Insecta, Diptera, Glossinidae. The record is from Rfam.